This 72-nucleotide transfer RNA is filed under the name Spirilliplanes yamanashiensis. It matches the Rfam family "tRNA". From Rfam's summary of the family: Transfer RNA (tRNA) molecules are approximately 80 nucleotides in length. Their secondary structure includes four short double-helical elements and three loops (D, anti-codon, and T loops). Lineage: Bacteria; Bacillati; Actinomycetota; Actinomycetes; Micromonosporales; Micromonosporaceae. The record is from Rfam by way of RNAcentral.
UCCCCGAUCGUCUAAUUGGCAGGACUGCGGCCUUUGGUGCCGUCUAUAGGGGUUCGAGUCCCUUUCGGGGAG